Non-coding RNA from Pelobates cultripes (western spadefoot toad), 275 nucleotides. The record is from the annotation of a GenBank genome assembly. NCBI's taxonomy places the organism in Eukaryota, Metazoa, Chordata, Amphibia, Anura, Pelobatidae.
GCUGCGGUUAACCACAGCUUCUGGGAGAUUAACGAGCAGCAAACUCCACUCGCGGGUGGUCUGACUGUUCGACAGUUCGAAGUGCCACUUCGAACCACUUCGGAAAUUCGAAGUGCUAACUUCAAAUGCCGAAGAGGGCACAAACAGUGUCCCUGAACACAAUAUAUCCCAGGGGCAAUAGUCACAGGGUUAGAGGCAGGCAAGAAGGCCCCUCUAAGUUGCUUUCGUCACAUUAGUAUUUCACUGUUUGAAAAUUAUCUCGAACUAUAACACAG